GUGUGGAUCGUGGAGAGUAGCAUGAGCCUCCACAUGCUGUGAGUCUCCGCGGUGUCAUGCACAACGAGUCACGUGAUAAGAUGCACGGAUUGACGGUCUCAGAAGCGGAGGCAACUGAGACUUGUCCUCCACCACCCGGAUUGAGGUGAGUAACCGCGCCACCACGAGGACCUACUAAGUAGUGGGAAUUGGGCGUUCCAAAAUUGGGAGAAAAGGGGAUAAAAUAAAAAUAUAUAUAUAUAUAUAUUUGUGGUAAUCAACAUCAUGUCACCAAUGCUGUCGAUUGAGCUUCACAUGUUUUAAACAUGAAACAUUCCUUUAAAACUCCUAACAACAUGAAAUAGAGUGCCUUAUUGCUUUUAUAGAACUGUUACUGCAUAUUAAAUAUUUUUGAAGCCGUGAGUGUGCAGCGAUAUAAACAAUAGCAGGGGGAAAAGUGUUUUGUGUCAUAGCAGUUACUGUACACAUGACCACAAAUACCCAACUGAGUAUUGCAUGCACAAAGAUUUUCUCACAAUCUAGUUUCUGCAUAGCUGACUUUAUAUUAAUCAAGGAACAUCCGCUAUACAAUCUUGCAGGUAAAGGUGUGUUAGCCAGAGCUCAGAGCUGCUCUCUGCUGGUUAAUAUCUGAACUUUGAGCCUCAUGUGUCAAUCAGCACAGUUAACACGCUUCAGUCAGUCACUUAGAAUGCUGUUUUAAUUGUAUUUGUUAGUUCAAAAUUAGAUUUAAAAUGUUUAAUGUCAUUUUGAUUUGUUCUUCAUACAUAUUCUGCCUGACCGUUUUGUCUGUAGGUUUGCCAAGUCAAUAAAUAAUGGAAAAUACUGUAA
Myxocyprinus asiaticus (Chinese sucker) is the source of this 828-nucleotide long non-coding RNA. RefSeq lists it as uncharacterized. The record is from RefSeq and is a predicted model, not a curated record. The transcript has 2 exons. Lineage: Eukaryota; Metazoa; Chordata; Actinopteri; Cypriniformes; Catostomidae.